AUUUAAAUAAUUUAAUAAAAAAUUUUGAUUUGUGGGGUCAAGCAUACUGAUAAAAGUUUUAAAUU
RNAcentral lists this transfer RNA (65 nucleotides) under Encyrtus rhodococcusiae. RNAcentral describes it as "tRNA-His". The record is from RNAcentral. Lineage: Eukaryota; Metazoa; Arthropoda; Insecta; Hymenoptera; Encyrtidae.